Molecule: long non-coding RNA, 165 nt
Organism: Octopus sinensis (East Asian common octopus)
Lineage: Eukaryota; Metazoa; Mollusca; Cephalopoda; Octopoda; Octopodidae
Exons: 4
Source: RefSeq, a predicted model, not a curated record
GCACUUAAGUACAUAAUAGAGAAAAAUGAAACAAAUAUGGAUGACUUGCUCCGAAACACCCCCGAGUGGGGAGCAGUUCUUAAAAAUAAUCCCAGUUGUUUCCCCAAAAAAAUCCUAGUGUCCUCGAAAUCUACAUAAUUCGAGGUAUAUUUGUAGUGAAUUUCA